Molecule: transfer RNA, 78 nt
Filed under: Holosporales bacterium
Lineage: Bacteria; Pseudomonadati; Pseudomonadota; Alphaproteobacteria; Holosporales
Also listed under: 1 other name
Description: tRNA-Pro
Rfam family: tRNA
About the family: Transfer RNA (tRNA) molecules are approximately 80 nucleotides in length.
Source: RNAcentral
CGGGAAGUAGCGCAGCCUGGUUAGCGCACUAUUCUGGGGGGAUAGGGGUCGGCGGUUCGAAUCCGCUCUUCCCGACCA